AGUGAACGCUGGCGGUAGGCCUAACACAUGCAAGUCGAACGGCAGCACAGUAAGAGCUUGCUCUUACGGGUGGCGAGUGGCGGACGGGUGAGGAAUACAUCGGAAUCUACUUUUUCGUGGGGGAUAACGUAGGGGAACUUACGCUAAUACCGCAUACGACCUACGGGUGAAAGCAGGGGAUCUUCGGACCUUGCGCGAUUGAAUGAGCCGAUGUCGGAUUAGCUAGUUGGCGGGGUAAAGGCCCACCAAGGCGACGAUCCGUAGCUGGUCUGAGAGGAUGAUCAGCCACACUGGAACUGAGACACGGUCCAGGCUCCUACGGGAGGCAGCAGUGGGGAAUAUUGGACAAUGGGCGCAAGCCUGAUCCAGCCAUACCGCGUGGGUGAAGAAGGCCUUCGGGUUGUAAAGCCCUUUUGUUGGGAAAGAAAAGCAGCAGGUUAAUACCCCGCUGUUCUGACGGUACCCAAAGAAUAAGCACCGGCUAACUUCGUG
Molecule: ribosomal RNA, 492 nt
Filed under: uncultured bacterium
Lineage: Bacteria
Description: partial 16S ribosomal RNA
Rfam family: Bacterial small subunit ribosomal RNA
Source: RNAcentral